UAGAGAUCCUAUUAAAUUACUAGAGUUAAUUAAACCCUCAAAAAUUCCAGAAUGGAUUGUGAUUUGAGGGAAUGGGGACACGAUGGGUAGACUUUUCGUCGCAGCGAUUAUACUUUAUAUUGACCACGCAAGUGGCCGCUUUAACAAUGAAAAUAAAUGUCUUCAAAAAUGGAAGGCAGUCGGGAGGAGAGAAGGCCCAUGGAGUUGAUGGAAGAAUCUUUUAAUUCAUGGCCACUUGCUCAGCUGGGCCAGGGGCGCUUUAAUUAGGUCAGGUGGAAAUGGCCGACAGAUCUCAACUUCAUAAAAGGAGGAAAUCGCCAUCGCCCGAUCUCGUUGCUUUCUCUUCCUUAGCUCCGUCUAAUCCAGACGAUCUCUGCGUCCAUGAAUCCACUACAGACUACCCAUAAGAUCCAGAUGACCACUAGCAAUGAAACCAGUAUGGCACUUGCUACUCCCACUGCUACCCACAGCUUCCAGCCUAGAAGCAAACCCUCAUUGGAGUGGGGAGACCAAGUUACUGGUUGGAGGGAGAUCAAGG
This is a non-coding RNA of Oncorhynchus mykiss (rainbow trout), 538 nucleotides long. NCBI's taxonomy places the organism in Eukaryota, Metazoa, Chordata, Actinopteri, Salmoniformes, Salmonidae. The record is from RefSeq and is a predicted model, not a curated record.